CUUGCUAGACACACAUAAACACAGUAUAAAUAGUUAAAUACAUUCCAUUCAGCCCUUUCAUUGUUCCUAGUCAACACAGAAACACAUUCCAAAAGAUUCAGCUUCACUAAGCUGUCACCAUGUUCAUACUGAAGAAUGGUAAAUUUGCUGGGUACUUUUUGUUAAUUUUUCUUAGCAUUUCUGCAAUAAACUCAGUAGCACUAGGAGGAAGAAUUCUUCAAGAUGUUGUAGAGAAGCCUCAGCAAUGGAGUCAGGUUCCUGACAAAGGAUUCUUCGCUAAUGUCGACAGAGAAGUACCCUCAUGUCCUGAUCCUCUGCACAAUAGUAUUGACCUGGUGCAGCGUGAAGUCAGUAUUGACCUGGUGCAGCGCGAUGACCUGACAUGUAAAUGAAGACUAUAAGAGCUAUGUCAUUACCUGACUACGAGAGCAUAUAAUUUUUUUAAAGUUUUUGUUUACAGUUGCCGUUUUGCUAUUGUCGCAAUAGAUUUUAACUUCCUAAAUCUGACUAUAUGUGUAAGAACUUCCUGCAGAAUACGCAGACAGAAUACAUAGAUUAACGUUCUAAAUAAAUAGGACUGCGAAAUUAAUAGACACUUGAAAUGUGGUAAACUCUAUAGGGGACUACAUAAGUGAAUCGAAAGCCAAACAAACAAUACGAUAAUCACCAAUUAAAAGUCUGUGAAGCACUUUGGAUACAAAGAACAGACUGUUAAUUUCUAGCAGUUUAGAGAUUGUCAGAGGUACAGAUAAGAAGCCAAUCCUGGAGGAAUGAAAAUCAUAUAUCUUCAUAUUCGAAAACUGGCAACACUCUUCAACCUUUUAAUCCUUCCCCAUGUUGUAUCUUAGCACAAUUUUAUUUGCAAUUAUUGCGAAGAGCCUAGCUUUUGAUCCGCAACAAGCACCAUGAACGUCUUUAACUAGGCUGCCAAACUGAGGAAACAUUGUCUCAAGCUCAUCUGAUCCGCUUUCAACACGUGCUUUGAUACUCUCAAUCUCUCAACAUUUCCGGCAUCCUUUAAAUUUUUGUGUUUCAUUUUUGAGAAUAUGAGAAGUGAACUCUAUUAACUGAAUAGCAUCAAAUUAAAGUUUUCAACUAAAACCAAAACCUCAAUAAAUACUAAUUGAGUUGCUAACAGAAUAUUUAUUUUGAUUAUAAACACAACUGAACUAUUAUAUGAACAUAAAAAGAUCAGAAAUACAAUGUAUAAUGUUGAAGCACUAUUGUAUGUCUGUUAGAAGCACUAUUGAGUAAAAUUUUUUCACUCAAUAUUAAAAGAUAGAAACUAAGAACUCUAUUAGAAAACUAGUAUCAGAUACGCGGACUGAAACUUGCCUUUAACUUAGGCUAUUGAUUAAACUCUACUAGACUAUCUUAUGGCUCAGUUGUACCCUUCUUCUUUGCAUCUUUGUCUAUUCAAAAUACACUAAUUUAGUUGGCGAACAAUCUAGAUCGUCUAAUUAAAUUAACAAUCAAAACCCUAACUUCUACUCCUUGCAAACUAUAUAUAUUACUCCAUCUAUUCCAUUUUAACUGAUGUUUGACUUUUUAACACGUAUACUAAGGUGUGCAAGAACAAUAAUCACACUAAACAAAAAUUAAUUUGAAUCUGUUCUUAUUCUGCAUUGCUUUCGACACAUUUGGCAACACCAUCUCAGUUUCUUAUAAGUCAUUUUCUUUGCGAUUUUGAUCAAAUCUAACUUUUCGAUUUUGCUUAUGUUAGAUCAUAGAUGAGACUACUACAUCAGCCAAGUACACUGCUAUACCAAUUAUUUACUGUAGAUUAUUUUAAUGCGGCAAGUAAGCGAGUGUGAAAUAGUUUGUCAACGAUAUAAAUAAUUGGCUCAAGCAAGUAGCAGAAGGUUUAUUCAGACCAGUUACGUCCUAUUAGUGCAUGUCAAGAGUCACUAUGAUUUCUGGAGUUUCUGAAACCACUCAACAAACUGUGGGAGAAGCUAAUAUAUUAAGCUUAAAAUUGGGCAACUGUGAGAUGAUGUAUGCACAAGACACUGAAUGUAGCAAAUCAAAGAGUCAAGUAGUUUAUCUUACUUCUCUAGUUGUGGUCUGGAUAACAUUUCUAGAGACUUACUUACAUUUCCCAGAAACAAAAAUGUAGAAUUCAAGAAACUCUGUCCCCUUGAUAUGUAACAAACUUAAAUCAUAUUACAUUGCCUAGACAAAAACCCUUUUGAUUAGCUACUAGCCUAGGUUCCGUAAAAUAUUGCUGAAUCUUAGAACCAGCAUCGACAUAAUGUGUAUAUAAAGAAUGAAUGAAUCUUGGAGAUUCAGUAUCUGCAUUUCCAAGAUAAUUGCAAUGGCUUCAUAUCUCCUGGCUUUGCCUCUUCUGCUGGCCAGUAUCUCCUUGCUGCUUACUCCGGUCGCUUGUGAUGAGAAACAAUGCCUUCUGAAAGGCAUUAACAGUUUCAGGCAGUCUCAGAACUUAUCUACAUUGACAAGCAAUGAUAAAGCAUCUUGCUUUGCGAAGCAAAUAGCUAAACAACUAGAAGGACAACCUUGUUCUCAUGUAACUGACCCGAAUACUGUCCCCGGAGUUCCAGAAAUUCUAAGAAAAUGCAAAGUUAAAAUCAAUUACACGACGGAUGGGUUGAUGCUAUCAGUUUGUGUUGCAAAAAGAGUUCCGAAUCUAGUUCUAAAUAACUUCACCAAAACAUUCUAUACUUCUUAUCUGAAGAAUUCUAACUUCACUGGAGCUGGCAUUGGUACAGAAGACGAUUGGACUGUUAUCGUGUUGAGCACAAGUACACUAGCUGGAAGUUUUUCAAGUUUUGCUUGUAGGGUUUCUUGGAGCUUCUACUACUUGAUUUCAGUUAUGGUUUUGUUUUUAUUCUGACAAAUAAUUUACGAGCUAGGUUGAGCUAAUCAUUUCCUCUUCCUGAUUUGUAAUUGAUGUUGUUAUUCCAACCGCUGGCACUUGUAUAUGUAUCUUUGUUGUAUGAAGAAUGGUACAUUGUUUUUUUUUU
Molecule: long non-coding RNA, 2981 nt
Organism: Daucus carota subsp. sativus
Lineage: Eukaryota; Viridiplantae; Streptophyta; Magnoliopsida; Apiales; Apiaceae
Exons: 3
Source: RefSeq, a predicted model, not a curated record